UACGUAGGGUGCGAGCGUUAAUCGGAAUUACUGGGCGUAAAGCGUGCGCAGGCGGUUUUGUAAGCCAGAUGUGAAAUCCCCGGGCUUAACCUGGGAAUGGCAUUUGGGACUGCAAGGCUGGAGUUUGGCAGAGGAGACUGGAAUUCCCGGUGUAGCAGUGAAAUGCGUAGAUAUCGGGAGGAAUACCGAUGGCGAAGGCAGGUCUCUGGGCUAUAACUGACGCUAAGGCGCGAAAGCGUGGGGAGCGAACAGG
Molecule: ribosomal RNA, 253 nt
Filed under: uncultured bacterium
Lineage: Bacteria
Description: partial 16S ribosomal RNA
Rfam family: Bacterial small subunit ribosomal RNA
Source: RNAcentral